ACACUCAGCAGUCUGUCUGUGUGUGUAUUUAGCAGUCUAUGUGUGUACUUAGCAGACUGCUAAGUACACAGACAGACUGCUAAAUACACAGACAGACUGCUA
This is a non-coding RNA of Pelobates cultripes (western spadefoot toad), 102 nucleotides long. The record is from the annotation of a GenBank genome assembly. NCBI's taxonomy places the organism in Eukaryota, Metazoa, Chordata, Amphibia, Anura, Pelobatidae.